UAGCUAGUUGGUAGGGUAAAGGCCUACCAAGGCAUUGAUCGGUAGCUGGUCUGAGAGGAUGAUCAGCCACACUGGGACUGAGACACGGCCCAGACUCUUACGGGAGGCAGCAGUGGGGAAUAUUGGACAAUGGGGGCAACCCUGAUCCAGCAAUGCCGCGUGUGUGAAGAAGGCCUGCGGGUUGUAAAGCACUUUCAGUGGGGAGGAAAGUUGAGGUGUUAAAAGCAUUUUAGUAUGACGUUACCCACAGAAGCAGCACCGGCUAACUCCGUGCCAGCAGCCGCGGUAAUACGGGGGGUGCAAGCGUUAAUCGGAAUUACUGGGCGUAAAGGGUGCGUAGGUUGUUAAUUAAGUUAUCUGUGAAAUACCUGGGCUCAACCUGGGCAGGUCAGAUAAGACUGAUUGACUCGAGUAUGGGAGAGGGUAGUGGAAUUUCCGGUGUAGCGGUGAAAUGCGUAGAGAUCGGAAGGAACACCGGUGGCGAAGGCGGCUACCUGGCCUAAUACUGACACUGAGGCACGAAAGCGUGGGGAGCAAACAGGAUUAGAUACCCUGGUAGUCCACGCUGUAAACGAUGUCAACUAGCUGUUGGUCAUAUUAAAAUGAUUAGUGGCGC
RNAcentral lists this ribosomal RNA (616 nucleotides) under uncultured Legionella sp. RNAcentral describes it as "bacterial SSU rRNA". It matches the Rfam family "Bacterial small subunit ribosomal RNA", at positions 242 to 849 of the family's 1533-position model. Lineage: Bacteria; Pseudomonadati; Pseudomonadota; Gammaproteobacteria; Legionellales; Legionellaceae. The record is from RNAcentral.